RNAcentral lists this ribosomal RNA (866 nucleotides) under uncultured bacterium. Its description in RNAcentral is "bacterial SSU rRNA". It matches the Rfam family "Bacterial small subunit ribosomal RNA", at positions 54 to 912 of the family's 1533-position model. The record is from RNAcentral.
CAUGCAAGUCGAGGGGCAGCAUGGUCUUAGCUUGCUAAGGCCGAUGGCGACCGGCGCACGGGUGAGUAACACGUAUCCAACCUGCCGUCUACUCUUGGACAGCCUUCUGAAAGGAAGAUUAAUACAAGAUGGCAUCAUGAGUCCGCAUGUUCACAUGAUUAAAGGUAUUCCGGUAGACGAUGGGGAUGCGUUCCAUUAGAUAGUAGGCGGGGUAACGGCCCACCUAGUCUUCGAUGGAUAGGGGUUCUGAGAGGAAGGUCCCCCACAUUGGAACUGAGACACGGUCCAAACUCCUACGGGAGGCAGCAGUGAGGAAUAUUGGUCAAUGGGCGAGAGCCUGAACCAGCCAAGUAGCGUGAAGGAUGACUGCCCUAUGGGUUGUAAACUUCUUUUAUAAAGGAAUAAAGUCGGGUAUGGAUACCCGUUUGCAUGUACUUUAUGAAUAAGGAUCGGCUAACUCCGUGCCAGCAGCCGCGGUAAUACGGAGGGUCCGAGCGUUAUCCGGAUUUAUUGGGUUUAAAGGGAGCGUAGAUGGAUGUUUAAGUCAGUUGUGAAAGUUUGCGGCUCAACCGUAAAAUUGCAGUUGAUACUGGAUAUCUUGAGUGCAGUUGAGGCAGGCGGAAUUCGUGGUGUAGCGGUGAAAUGCUUAGAUAUCACGAAGAACUCCGAUUGCGAAGGCAGCCUGCUAAGCUGCAACUGACAUUGAGGCUCGAAAGUGUGGGUAUCAAACAGGAUUAGAUACCCUGGUAGUCCACACGGUAAACGAUGAAUACUCGCUGUUUGCGAUAUACUGCAAGCGGCCAAGCGAAAGCGUUAAGUAUUCCACCUGGGGAGUACGCCGGCAACGGUGAAACUCAAAGGAAUUG